CCAAAAAUCUAUAACAGUUGGCGCUGGAUCAUGACGUCAUCGAUCACAUAUAAUGCGCGGUCUUUAUUCGUCACAUCCUCUUUCCGUUGCUCUUCUCGCUUAGAGAAAUUUCCCCACACGAUGAGAGCUAAGUGGAGGAAGAAGCGUAUGCGCAGGCUGAAGCGUAAAAGGAGAAAGAUGAGGCAGAGGUCAAAGUAAGCCCUCAUCCCCAGCAGCUGUGAUCCUGUCAAAGCCUCUACAGAAGACAGAUCCCUAGUGGAAUAAAAGCCUCCACUCCGAUGUCUGACAGAUCUGAUCAAGCUGUGAAUGUCUGACUGGAAGAUGGCUGAUGCUGGACAGAUCAACAUCAGAACUACAGCUGCUUUGUUCAUGGACCAUAAUACAUGUUUCCUAACAAACUUUUAUGUGGUGUAUUGAACAAUAAAAAAACACUGUUAAAACUGA
Cheilinus undulatus (humphead wrasse) is the source of this 444-nucleotide long non-coding RNA. RefSeq lists it as uncharacterized. The transcript has 4 exons. Lineage: Eukaryota; Metazoa; Chordata; Actinopteri; Labriformes; Labridae. The record is from RefSeq and is a predicted model, not a curated record.